GCUGGGUGUGGUGGCGCAUUCCUAUAAUCCCUACAACUUGAGAGGCUGAGGCAGGAGAAUAGCAGGUUCAAGGUCAGUCUCAGCAACUUAGGUCCUAAGCAACUCAGCAGGACUCUGUCUCAA
This 123-nucleotide small RNA is filed under the name Marmota monax (woodchuck). The record is from RNAcentral. Lineage: Eukaryota; Metazoa; Chordata; Mammalia; Rodentia; Sciuridae.